RNAcentral lists this ribosomal RNA (1269 nucleotides) under Blautia massiliensis (ex Durand et al. 2017). Its description in RNAcentral is "partial 23S ribosomal RNA". It matches the Rfam family "Bacterial large subunit ribosomal RNA", at positions 593 to 1890 of the family's 2925-position model. Lineage: Bacteria; Bacillati; Bacillota; Clostridia; Lachnospirales; Lachnospiraceae. The record is from RNAcentral.
ACGACCGCGUACUUUUUGUAGAACGGUCCGGCGAGUUACGCUUACUGGCAAGGUUAAGCACUUCAGGUGUGGAGCCGUAGGGAAACCAAGUCUUAAUAGGGCCAGAGUCAGUAGGAGUAGACCCGAAACCGGGUGAUCUAUCCAUGUCCAGGUUGAAGCUGCCGUAAGAGGUAGUGGAGGACCGAACCCACAUCCGUUGAAAAGGGUGGGGAUGAGGUGUGGAUAGGGGAGAAAUUCCAAUCGAACCCGGAGAUAGCUGGUUCUCCUCGAAAUAGCUUUAGGGCUAGCCUCGGUGUGAGUCUUGCGGAGGUAGAGCACUGAAUUUCCUAGGGGGCGUCAAAGCCUACCGAAGAAUAUCAAACUCCGAAUGCCGUGUAGAUAUCACCGGGAGUCAGACUGCACGAGAUAAGUUGGGCGGUCAAAAGGGAAAGAGCCCAGACCUACAGUUAAGGUCCCAAAGUGCGCGUUAAGUGGAAAAGGAUGUGGGAUUUCGAAGACAACCAGGAUGUUGGCUCAGAAGCAGCCAUACAUUCAAAGAGUGCGUAAUAGCUCACUGGUCGAGAGGUCCUGCGCCGAAAAUGUCCGGGGCUGAAACGCGCCACCGAAACUAAGGAAUCUGAAAAGAUUGGUAGAGGAGCAUUGCAUGCGGGAAGAAGCAGUACCGGAAGGAGCUGUGGACUGCAUGGAAGAGAGAAUGCCGGAAUGAGUAGCGAGAUAGAGGUGGGAAUCCUCUAGGCCGAAUAUCCAAGGUUUCCAGGGUAAAGCUGAUCUGCCCUGGGUGAGUCGGGACCUAAGGUGAGGGCGAGAGCCGUAGCCGAUGGACAACAGGUUGAUAUUCCUGUACUGCAGUAUGACAGAACUGUGGGGACACGUAAGGAGAGCGGGAGCCGGGAAUGGAAAGCCCGGUACAAGCGAGGUACCAGUAUGGUAGGAAAAUCCGCCAUGCAAUGGGAAGACGUGAUGUGGAGUGAAUUUUAGUAACGAAGCCCGUGAGCCAUGCGUCAAGAAAAGCCGCUAUCGUUCAUAUUGUACCCGUACCGUAAACCGACACAGGUGGAUGAGGAGAGAAUCCUAAGGCCGGCGGAAGAAGUAUUGCCAAGGAACUCGGCAAAAUGGCCCCGUAACUUAGGGAGAAGGGGUGCCUGCGAGAGCAGGCCGCAGAGAAUAGGCUCAAGCAACUGUUUAGCAAAAACACAGGUCUAUGCGAAACCGAAAGGUGAGGUAUAUGGGCUGACGCCUGCCCGGUGCUGGAAGGUUAAGAGGAGAGGU